UUUUGUGUAAUUACUUCUUCUACAACAACGCGGUUUUCUAUUAUUCUUCAUUGCUGGUCUGUAGCAUUUGGGGUAAUUAUGAGUUAAAUUAUCUUCUGUGGGCUAGCCAAAAAACCUAACAUCCACUUAAAACCGUCUGUGUUCCUAUUAUGCAAUGGGAACUUGGUUAAUUGAGAUACCAUAAAUCUUCAGACCCACUGAAAAUGUUUAAUAUUCAAAACUAAGUUUUACACAUCGUAUCGAUCAGCACUCUUAGGGAAGCCAGGUCAAGUCCUGCAGUAUCUCUUUGAUUUAAGCAAAGAAGAGGAGAAGAGGAGGCCAAAAAGGGUCACAUGGCUUCCUGUAGGGUCUGAGUCAGCUGCAAGGUGAGAGAGACAGCCUGUGAUUGUUGAAGCCACAGCCUUGAGAUUUAAAGUAAAAUAUGAGCAUCAUGAUGAGGAGAAGGGAUUAUGAAAUGACUUGGAUUUUAGGAUUUAAAAAAAUAUGACUUUUCAUCUUUGCAUCCUUCCAGGCAGCUCACUCACUCCCUCACAGUGCUCAGAGACCUGCUCUGGCACUGAGGUCCUUGUCAUCAGUUGACCUGCUUGCUUUGUCUUGCAGGUUCCUGGGACAUAUUGCAUAUGCUGGGGGAGGCCACACACUGGGAGGGUGCAGCAUUUAGUACAGGGUCAAAGCUAAGGGCGCCCAUGAUCCUUCAACAGCAAAGGGGACCCCCUGCUCAGGGCAGGACAGAGGACAGCUGCAGCCCUCAACCAAAUGCAGAUUCCCUGACCUGUGGUUAAAUUCUGAUCUGGGAAACAGAGAAAGGGCGUUUACUUACUGGUCACGGAAAAUUCCUCUGUUCUCUCCACCUAAGAGGGGGUACCAUAAAACUCAGAAGAAGGAAAAAAAAGGCAUUCUAGGAGAAAACGCAGAUGCUCACACAUAAUAACCAUAUGACCAAAGUGCCUUCACUUUCUAAAACUCGGUCACCUAGCCUGUUAACUGGGGACUCCAGGGGAAUAAAAUGUGCCACCCCAAAAUGUCUCUGGCAUGUGGAUUAUUUCAAGGUGAAAACAAUCAAGGUUCAAAAGACUUGGGAAGAAACUCUGACCUUCCCUCAACUGCUGGAGGAAUUUAGACAGGGCCUCGUACAGGAAUAGAGAGAUGAGUGCAAGGAAUAAGGGCCAGGGGUCGCAGGAAAACUCCUGGAGACCAGGGCCCUCUCUGUGUCCAUCAUUCGGCCUGGCCCAGCAAACACUUAUUCACCAAACAUUGGCUCUUCCAUCUCUUGCAAGUUGCCCUCCUCCUCUUUGAAGCCCAAACCUCUACCCCCCAACAUCUUCUUUUGUCUUUAGCUGAAGAUGGUAUUUAGGGUGAGGGUUUUGGCCACGUUGUGGAGGCAGUUCUCCUGGGUCUCUUCCAUGGGUACAUGUCAUUCAAUAUUUGUUUGACUGUCUCCUGUUCAUCUGUCUCAUGUCAAUCGAUUUUUAGACCAGCCAGGAGACCCUAGAAGGGUAGAAGAAAGUAUCUUCCUCCCGGACAGGAUCCUAAUAUUCUGAAAAUUAUGUGAAAUGAUAAGUAGUUGGCCUGGCAUCUUACACACAGUAAAUUAUGGAUGAUGGUUUGUAUGUGUACUCCUCCCCCCCCACCACUCAUGCAGAUUUUAUUGAAGGGUCUGUGGUGUGAUUCCAUCAGGAGGGUGGACAGGCUCAGAGAGCUGCCUGUCUCUAACCCUCUGUGCCGAGGAAAUGACACAGCUUGAGGCAGCAUGUGGGCAGAGUGGCAGAAACAUCGUAACUUCAAUUUUCCCCAUCUUAAAAAGAUGCACCAGGUGCCAGAAGGUCCAGGAGGGGCUCAUGGCUGGAAGGUGGGAAGGGCCUUAGCAGGCAGGCUCUCGGCAUGAUGCCCGCAUGCCAACUGCCUCCCCAACUCAACUAGACCCAACCUCAGCAAAAGCAUCUUCCAAAUAAUAAACCAACAGAUGAACCUGAGAUAAUCUGGGGCGCUCAUGAGGGGAUUAAAAAAAAAUCAAGACAGGUGAACAUGUAGUUGCUAACUUAACAGGUGACACACAUUUCUGCCAGCCCUAAACACAUCUCGGACCUUAAUUCUUGCUUCUCACCUCAUGAUUGUGAAGGUUCUUCCCAGUAAUGAUGAUGUUAAAAGUCCUCCCUGGGGAAGCCGAGGUGGUUCUUUCUGUCCACUGCAUCUCAUGCUGGACCCCAUCAGAUCUGUAACAGGGGCUGCCCAGUGCUACCCCACCCCCCGCCCCACCCUGAGCUGGCCACAGAGUAAGCACAGUCAGCAGGCCAAGGGCUAAACUGAACCCAGUGGUCAAAUUCACUUAAAAGCCAGCAAAUGAACAACAAGGCAUAGAUCAGAGCUGUGAGUUGUCUAGAGCAGUUCUGAAAGUCCCAGAGUCCUGAAGGCUUGAAAAUCCCUCCUCCCACCCCCAGCUUUGGCAUGUGGCCUGUGUGCCAGAGAUGCAGAUGUGUUCCCACCAAUCGGUGAUCUACACUCUAUCAGGCUAGCCAGCCCUUCACGUCCAGGCUGGCUAGAUCCCAGCAGCCAUUCCCAAUCGGGGACACGCCAGCUUCCUGGGCAGAAAACCUGGGUAGCCUGUCUGCCCUACUCGCCUUUCUCUGUGUGUCUCCCCACAGUGGGGCAGAUCUCCGCAGCCUCACGACUAGUCAGUUAUUCAACUUCUGCUAAGAUCCCUCAGCUUCACUCCUUAUCUUGUCCUCGGGGGCUUGGUGAAGCCCUUCGCAUAGUUUCAGGUCAGAUGGGGAUCACUGGGGACUCUACUGUCCCCUCUGGCAAGUGAUUUAUGCAGAAUUCAAGUCCCUCAGGCUGCCAAGGUCUCUAACCAAUUGCCUGCCUGAAUGUCCAGGUACUAUAUUUUGAAGGGAAGGAAACCCUUUGGACGUAAGUGCUUCAUUGCUGUGGAGGAAAGAGUCCAUUAUGAGAGACUGGGCACCUGUGAGAUGGAUUAAAACAUAAACUAUCUGGAGGUCCUUAACAAACCCGACUAGGAACCAUGAGGAUGCGGGUUCAAUCCCCGGCCUCACUCAGGGGGUUAAGGAUCUGGUGUUGCCGUGAGCCGGGGUGUAGGUCACAGACGCAGCCCAGAUCCUGCGUUGCUGUGGCUGUGGCAUAGGCUGGCAGCUGUAGCUCCAAUUCGACCCCUAUCCCAGGAACUUCUAUAUGCCGCAAGUGCGGCCCUAAAAACCAAAAAAAAAAAAAAAAAAGCAUAAACUUACUUAACCCUUAGCAUCUACGAUGAUGUCUGUGCUUAAUAUCUAAGGCACGGCUGCUGACCUGCAGGAACUCGCAGGCUAACCCAGACCAGGCUCGGUGACCAGUCCUGUCAGAACAAAGCUCUGCAGCAAGUGUGCUGGGAACUCAGACCCAGGGUGGCUCCUGACCUCAAGCAGAAAGCAGGUGCUGAGUGGACCUGGGAGAGGACCGCUCCUGCUCAAACUCUGUAUGUGGGUGGGGCGGGAGGGAAGAAGGAGAGCAGGCAGAAAUGGAAGGAGGCGAGAGUAUCCCCUGGCAGUCCCCAGGGAGGCCUCAUUAGCUCCUGCAACAAGCUGCACAUCCAUGUGGCUCCAGAGCCAGAACACCCUCCUCUUCCUCCCACCUGGGGCUAUUGGCAGGGCAGAUACUCGAGUGAGUGCACAGAAAUGAACAGCAGUGCUUAAGUCAGGUAGCUAGGGAGUGGCAGAAGAAAACUCACACCCAGGAGGGUCCUCGGGGCCCUGCAUUCCAUUCUUUUUUACUCGGGCACUAAGGUGGCUGUGAGUGGUGAGGUACCUGCAGGCUUGCAGGGGACAUAUACGUGCAGGCAGGGUCACUGGAGACCAGACUUGCUCCGAUGCUCUGGGGCAGGAAAAGGCUCUGGGGAAGUGGUUCUCAGCAUUACAAAUACUGGAAAAGAUCUUAAAAGCGCUCAGUUCCAGACAUUUUGCUAUCAUUGGUCUGAGAUCCCGGCUAUGGAAUGUUUAGCAAGCAUCUCAGCUAACUCCAGCCCAGACUCAGUUAGCCCUGCAACCGGAAGGGCUCCUAUGGGCUUAUGCUGGCUUCAGUGGCUACAUCUCCACUGUCCCAGGGCAAAAGGGAAGUCUUCCCAUGGAUCCAAGUCCUCAUUCAGUGCAGGCAGCUUAAACAAUGAAAUGCAUAUGCUGGGGACUUGUUCUAAAUAACCUAGCAGCAUUUCUGGGAGUUCCCACUAUGGCGUAGCAGGCUAAGGGUCUAGCACUUUCUCUGUGACACUGUGGUUUAAGGAUCCUGUGUUGCCGCAGCUAUGGCAUAAACUGCAGCUGCAGCUUAGAUGCAAUCCGGCCCGGGAACUCACAUAUGCCGUGGGUGCCAAAAAUAGUAAUAAUAAUAAUAACUAGGAGCUAUUCUGAAUUUUCUGAUGUAUACACAAAGAAAAGCUGCUGAUAGUAAGUGCAAAAGAUAGAAAAACAUCCUGGCAAACAACAAGGGCCCCGUCGCUUUGGCAAAAUCCUGCUGCUCAGAUUAUUCCUUGGCAGUAGUUAACCCUCAAAUACUUGGUUCUAAACGGAUUAGCGCAGAACUCCAAAUGAAAAUGCAAGAGUAUUUGAGAAGAGAGUUUUUAAGCCAUAAUCCCAGAUCAGCAAGCCUGGAUCAGCAAGACUGAUUAUCCUGUCACACCAAAAAAAAAAAAAAAAGCAAAAAAAAAAG
This 4689-nucleotide long non-coding RNA is filed under the name Sus scrofa (pig). Its description in RNAcentral is "lncRNA (ENSSSCG00015005279.1)". Lineage: Eukaryota; Metazoa; Chordata; Mammalia; Artiodactyla; Suidae. The record is from RNAcentral.